This 423-nucleotide ribosomal RNA is filed under the name uncultured bacterium. Its description in RNAcentral is "bacterial SSU rRNA". It matches the Rfam family "Bacterial small subunit ribosomal RNA", at positions 355 to 776 of the family's 1533-position model. The record is from RNAcentral.
UAAGGAAUAUUGCGCAAUGGAGGAAACUCUGACGCAGCAACGCCGCGUGCAGGAAGAAGGCCCUUUGGGUCGUAAACUGCUGUAGCAGGGGAAUAACGGUCUCCCACGGGGAGACGUGAAGGUACCCUGAAAGUAAGCUCCGGCUAACUACGUGCCAGCAGCCGCGGUAAUACGUAGGGAGCAAGCGUUGUCCGGAUUCACUGGGUGUAAAGGGUGCGUAGGCGGGACAAUAAGUCAGUGGUGAAAUCUUACGGCUCAACCGUGAAACUGCCAUUGAUACUGUUGUUCUUGAGUUCGGGAGAGGUUGAUGGAAUUCCAGGUGUAGCGGUGAAAUGCGUAGAUAUCUGGAAGAACACCAGUGGCGAAGGCGGUCAACUGGCCCGAAACUGACGCUGAGGCACGAAAGCGUGGGUAGCGAACAGG